GCCCCCGUAGCUCAGCGGAUAGAGCAAGUGCCUUCUAAGCGCUUGGCCGCAGGUUCGAGUCCUGCCGGGGGCGCCA
Molecule: transfer RNA, 76 nt
Filed under: Streptomyces sp. SID8014
Lineage: Bacteria; Bacillati; Actinomycetota; Actinomycetes; Kitasatosporales; Streptomycetaceae
Also listed under: 3 other names
Description: tRNA-Arg
Rfam family: tRNA
About the family: Transfer RNA (tRNA) molecules are approximately 80 nucleotides in length. Their secondary structure includes four short double-helical elements and three loops (D, anti-codon, and T loops).
Source: RNAcentral